RNAcentral lists this ribosomal RNA (251 nucleotides) under uncultured prokaryote. RNAcentral's name for it is "partial 16S ribosomal RNA". It matches the Rfam family "Bacterial small subunit ribosomal RNA", at positions 525 to 775 of the family's 1533-position model. The record is from RNAcentral.
ACAGAGGCGGCAAGCGUUGUUCGGAAUUAUUGGGCGUAAAGAGCAUGUAGGCGGCUAUGUAAGUCGGUUGUGAAAGCCUUCCGCUUAACGGAAGAAUGGCGGUCGAAACUGCAUGGCUUGAGUGCGGGAGGGGAGAGUGGAACUUCUGGUGGAGCGGUGAAAUGCGUAGAGAUCCGGAGGAACACCAGAGGCGAAGGCGACACCCUGGGCCGUACCUGACGCUAAGACGCGACAGCACGGGGAGCGAACGG